CCUUCGAUAGCUCAGUUGGUAGAGCGGUGGACUGUAGAAUCGAAAACAGUAUUAGCAUUAAAUAAUAAGUUAUCCAUAGGUCGCUGGUUCAAAUCCGGCUCGAAGGA
Molecule: transfer RNA, 107 nt
Organism: Daphnia magna
Lineage: Eukaryota; Metazoa; Arthropoda; Branchiopoda; Diplostraca; Daphniidae
Rfam family: tRNA
About the family: Transfer RNA (tRNA) molecules are approximately 80 nucleotides in length. Their secondary structure includes four short double-helical elements and three loops (D, anti-codon, and T loops).
Source: Rfam